This is a long non-coding RNA of Salvia splendens (bonfire salvia), 393 nucleotides long. RefSeq lists it as uncharacterized. NCBI's taxonomy places the organism in Eukaryota, Viridiplantae, Streptophyta, Magnoliopsida, Lamiales, Lamiaceae. The transcript has 4 exons. The record is from RefSeq and is a predicted model, not a curated record.
UCCUUAAAAAUCUCCAACCAAAUACUCUCUAUUAACUCCAUGUAUACAUCUCCUCCCACAAUCUCAACAAACCGCCGUUCCUGCAGCUUUUCUUCCCUUGAAGAGUGUGGAGGAGAAACCCAGAGAGUUGUGAUCAUUUUCAAUACCUUCUCUUCUGCAGUUUUGCCUCUUCUGGGAGGGUGAGCUUGUGCACGUUGGUUGCGGUGGGAACAGAAAGUGUUUGAGGAGUAAGCUUUUGAGAUUGAGCGGCCAUGGACGUGGAGGAUGUUGAGCAGAGUUCAUGGAUUGUUUUUGUCAUGAUUAUUAAUUGUUGGAUUUGUCGUGUCUUCAUACUCGGCAUUUUCCGUGUCUUGAACGCUUCCGCUAAGAGUCAUUUUCUUUAGAAUUGUUUAU